AUUGAACGCUGGCGGCAGGCCUAACACAUGCAAGUCGAGCGGAUGAAGGGAGCUUGCUCCUGGAUUCAGCGGCGGACGGGUGAGUAAUGCCUAGGAAUCUGCCUGGUAGUGGGGGAUAACGUCCGGAAACGGGCGCUAAUACCGCAUACGUCCUGAGGGAGAAAGUGGGGGAUCUUCGGACCUCACGCUAUCAGAUGAGCCUAGGUCGGAUUAGCUAGUUGGUGGGGUAAAGGCCUACCAAGGCGACGAUCCGUAACUGGUCUGAGAGGAUGAUCAGUCACACUGGAACUUAGACACGGUCCAGACUCCUACGGGAGGCAGCAGUGGGGAAUAUUGGACAAUGGGCGAAAGCCUGAUCCAGCCAUGCCGCGUGUGUGAAGAAGGUCUUCGGAUUGUAAAGCACUUUAAGUUGGGAGGAAGGGCAGUAAGUUAAUACCUUGCUGUUUUGACGUUACCAAUAGAAUAAGCACCGGCUAACUUCGUG
Molecule: ribosomal RNA, 484 nt
Filed under: uncultured bacterium
Lineage: Bacteria
Description: partial 16S ribosomal RNA
Rfam family: Bacterial small subunit ribosomal RNA
Source: RNAcentral